This 253-nucleotide ribosomal RNA is filed under the name uncultured bacterium. Its description in RNAcentral is "partial 16S ribosomal RNA". It matches the Rfam family "Bacterial small subunit ribosomal RNA", at positions 524 to 776 of the family's 1533-position model. The record is from RNAcentral.
UACAGAGGUCUCAAGCGUUGUUCGGAUUUAUUGGGCGUAAAGCGUGCGUAGGCGGCGGGGUAAGUGAGGUGUGAAAUCCCGGAGCUUAACUCCGGAACUGCACUUUAUACUGCCUUGCUAGAGGGCUGGAAAGGAGACUGGAAUUUACGGUGUAGCAGUGAAAUGCGUAGAGAUCGUAAGGAAGACCAGUGGCGAAGGCGAGUCUCUGGAAAGCUGCUGACGCUGAGGCACGAAGGCCAGGGGAGCAAACGGG